GGGUGAGUAACGCGUGAGUAACCUGCCUUACACAAGGGGAUAGCCGUUGGAAACGACGAAUAAUACCCUAUGAAACUAUCACUUCGCAUGAAGCGAUAGUCAAAGUGUUAGCGGUGUAAGAUGGACUUGCGUCUGAUUAGCUAGUUGGUGAGAAAAAGCCCACCAAGGCAACGAUCAGUAGCCGGCUUGAGAGAGUGUACGGCCACAUUGGGACUGAGACACGGCCCAG
This 229-nucleotide ribosomal RNA is filed under the name uncultured Eubacteriales bacterium. Its description in RNAcentral is "uncultured Clostridiales bacterium partial 16S ribosomal RNA". It matches the Rfam family "Bacterial small subunit ribosomal RNA", at positions 104 to 334 of the family's 1533-position model. Lineage: Bacteria; Bacillati; Bacillota; Clostridia; Eubacteriales. The record is from RNAcentral.